Molecule: ribosomal RNA, 427 nt
Filed under: uncultured bacterium
Lineage: Bacteria
Description: bacterial SSU rRNA
Rfam family: Bacterial small subunit ribosomal RNA
Source: RNAcentral
AGCGAACGCUGGCGGCAGGCUUAACACAUGCAAGUCGAGCGGGCGUAGCAAUACGUCAGCGGCAGACGGGUGAGUAACGCGUGGGAACAUACCUUUUGGUUCGGAACAACACAGGGAAACUUGUGCUAAUACCGGAUAAGCCCUUACGGGGAAAGAUUUAUCGCCGAAAGAUUGGCCCGCGUCUGAUUAGCUAGUUGGUGAGGUAAUGGCUCACCAAGGCGACGAUCAGUAGCUGGUCUGAGAGGGUGACCGGCCACACUGGGACUGAGACACGGCCCAGACUCCUACGGGAGGCAGCAGUGGGGAAUAUUGCACAAUGGGCGAAAGCCUGAUGCAGCGACGCCGCGUGAGGGAUGACGGCCCUCGGGUUGUAAACCUCUUUCGCCAGGGACGAAGCGCAAGUGACGGUACCUGGAUAAGAAGCACC